GACGAAGGGGGCUAGCGUUGUUCGGAAUUACUGGGCGUAAAGCGCGUGUAGGCGGUUGUCCAAGUCGGGUGUGAAAGCCUUGAGCUCAACUCAAGAAAUGCACUCGAUACUGGGCGACUCGAGUGCCGGAGAGGAUAGUGGAAUUCCCAGUGUAGUGGUGAAAUACGUAGAGAUUGGGAAGAACACCAGUGGCGAAGGCGGCUAUCUGGACGGUUACUGACGCUAAGACGCGAAAGCGUGGGGAGCAAACAGG
Molecule: ribosomal RNA, 253 nt
Filed under: uncultured bacterium
Lineage: Bacteria
Also listed under: 1 other name
Description: partial 16S ribosomal RNA
Rfam family: Bacterial small subunit ribosomal RNA
Source: RNAcentral